This 385-nucleotide ribosomal RNA is filed under the name uncultured soil bacterium. RNAcentral describes it as "bacterial SSU rRNA". It matches the Rfam family "Bacterial small subunit ribosomal RNA", at positions 26 to 399 of the family's 1533-position model. The record is from RNAcentral.
AGAUUGAACGCUAGCGGGAUGCUUUACACAUGCAAGUCGAACGGCAGCGCGGACUUCGGUCUGGCGGCGAGUGGCGAACGGGUGAGUAAUAUAUCGGAACGUGCCCAGUAGCGGGGGAUAACUACGCGAAAGCGUGGCUAAUACCGCAUACGCCCGUACGGGGGAAAGGGGGGGAUCGCAAGACCUCUCACUAUUGGAGCGGCCGAUAUCAGAUUAGCUAGUUGGUGAGGUAAAGCUACACCAAGGCGACGAUCUGUAGACUGGUUUGAAGAGGACGACCACGCCACACGUGGGACUGACGACACGGCCCAGACCUCCGACGGGAGGCAGCAGGUCGGGGUAAUUUUGGAACAAGGUCGGGGGAAACCCUGUACUCCGAAGCCCG